RNAcentral lists this non-coding RNA (391 nucleotides) under Pan troglodytes (chimpanzee). The record is from RNAcentral. Lineage: Eukaryota; Metazoa; Chordata; Mammalia; Primates; Hominidae.
GUGGUGCUGGUGUCCCUCCACUUCCCAAAAGAAUGAUGCCGGACUCAUUCUUGGUGCUGAAUGACAGGUUGAUUUCUGUUCCUACAUCAACUGGCACAGGGGAGAGCUCCACAAAACCAGGCUUAGGAAAGCUAACUGUGUAAACAUUCUACUGGGUGUCUAUGGCCAAUUCCAAAUUGGAGCCUGUAGCUAUGAACAAUGAAGAUCCUGAAAGUUCUGUUCCAGUCUUUAAACCUCAUCAUUCAAGUGGUGGAUUUACUUUUUUCUUUACCCACAUUUUCCCUUCAUUUCCCUAAUUCUAUUGGAGUGGUUUAAGAUAAUUUUGAUUAGAAGAAGCAGACAAAAUGAAUAAUUAUAUUAUGAUAGGAUAAUUAAAAAUGUAUGAGAAUGA